RNAcentral lists this long non-coding RNA (4021 nucleotides) under Androctonus crassicauda. Lineage: Eukaryota; Metazoa; Arthropoda; Arachnida; Scorpiones; Buthidae. The record is from RNAcentral.
CAGUAAACGAAGAUCUUCUAACUUUAGAUGCUUUUUUUUUAUAAGCAUGCAAGUGCCAACAAUAAUUCUCGGAAGUUUGGAUUUAAAAAAAUAAAUAACUGGCAUAAAAUGGAAAAUAUAAAUUAUACUCUUCUUUUUUUUUGUUGUUAUCGUUCUCUAUUCGUUCGUCUUUCGACGGUGGAUUCUAAAUUUUGCGAAGUUUGCAAACUCUUCUUAUCAAGAAAUUUUGAAAUCAGAUUACUAUGUCAGUAUGCCAAGAUCAUAUAUUCCCAAAUCGGAACCCCAACGAUUACUGACCUGGUUUUUUUCCUAGUAUGCAAAUAAAACAUUCUUACUUUCCAUAAACCAAUAGAUCGAUCGAUAAAAAUUAUGUAGAUAUCUAUAUUUUUUUUUUUAUAUGUAGUUACGUAGCUAUAAAACUAUUAUUAAACGUGAAUAAGAGUUACGUAAUAUGAUUUUAAGAAACGUCUAUAUUAUAUAUAUAUAUAAAACUUAAUGUUUUAUUCGCCACAUGUUGAAUUUCUGCGAAAACUGUCUGCAUAGCACGCCGACCAAAGAAUUGAGGUCAAGGUUGCUGGGUGGAUGGACCAGAACCGUUCGUGUUCGUGUUCGACUAAUUUAGCUUACCUCUGGUUUAUCCAUUGGGAUAGCCUUUAGACAUUUUCACUUCUCUGUCUUACAUUGCAUUAACCGAAACUAUAUUCAAACAAGAUUAAUUAGUUUUUUCUUCAGUGAAAUGUGCAAUUGGUUAAAAUGCUAAGAGUGGUUCUUGGCUCGCUAUUUGAAUGCAUAUCCUGUAAAAGUUAAUUGGGAGAACAUUUAUGUUAAACAAAGAUUGCUUUUAGUAUUUUUUAUUUUUUUGUUUUUUAACUUAGUCAGAUUCCCUGUUCUUAGGUUUUUACUGCUUAACCUCUUAGGAGUUCCCCGCGGGGGAAAUUAAAGUGCGGGACUGCCGGAAAUGACGGGACUUCCGACAUUUGCCAGUCGUCAAGGAACGUUGACCUAGCAGCCUGGCGACCCACUGGCACCCGCCUUCUUUUCUCUUCUACGUUGCCCCCCUCGUUUCGCUCCACUUUCGCUACUUUUUCUUUUAAUCAAUUAUACUUUCUCCGCUCAUAAUAACUGUCUCUCGCCAUUUCGGUUCGUAGAUUGCAGCAGGAAAGAAUUUCUUCGCCAGGUUGCACUUAAAAAUCGCUUCCCCCUACCGUUACCCCCUUUAUGCCAAUGCUUUCAAGUUAAUACCUGAAUAUUCGCCUUUCGAAAAAAAAUCAAAUUUUAGUUACGGACACACGUAUUAGAAUUCUUAUUUUAUUUUUAUUUUCGUCAUCAGGAUUUGUAAUUAAACGAUCACGUAUCUCGUCCAAAUUUUGCGCUUAACGUCUUCGGAAAAUCGUUUCCAUUGCAGGUUUAUCGCGUCAUAUAGGAAAUGAACUGUUUGGUAAAUCAGCUGAUAAGUCAUCUCUUGGAAACAAGGAAUCUGUUUCUUUCCCCCCAUAUUCCAAUAUAUUAUCGGCCUUGGAGAAUGUAUAAAAAAAAUCAAGUAGGAAAAUAGGGAAAGUCGUUAACCUGUUCCAAGUCACUGAGUUUCGUGAUAGAAAAUGCCAAUGGUGUGUGCUGUAUGUAUACAGUAUAUGUUCCCUUUAGUAACAUCAUGUAUAUAAAAAUCUGUCUGACAGGUGUCUGGAAUGGCCAUGCUCACCUUGAAAUAGCAAAACGAUGAAGCAUCUAUUAAUAAAUUAUCUAAUCAUUUUAAAACAUAUGUAUUUAAAAAUCUAAACCGAACGCGUUUAAAAUCCGAUAUAGCGCCGGAUUGAUUCUAACCACUCCAACAAUACAUCUACCAUAAAAAAAGAAAAUGUAUCAGCUAAAAUGCUAACAAGAUCAUAAGUAUCUUGUAAUGAUCGUAUUGAUUUCACGAAAUUUGAGUUGCUUAAUCCCGGGGAAAAAAACAAUACUCAUUUCUUGAACUCUGCUUUAAGUAUCAUCUAACAAGCGUAUGAAAACACGUUACGAUCUUGGAAUUUUUUAAUAUUUUCUCGUGAUUCCAUCGUUGCUUUUUUUUAUUUCUUUUUCCGAAAAAAGAAAGAAACGAAUUGUUUAAAAGUAAUACCCUUUUUUCUAUUCUUUAAAAUUAAAAAUUAUAUUAUUUAAAGCCGAAUUAUUGAACCGAAAACACAUGUUGUAAAGCAAUACCAGUUUGUGGCCCCACCUAAAGUUUCAGUGACCACACGUGGCUACCGCAACCAUACCACACCAAGAAAACUCAUAUACCACACAUAGACUGGUUUGAAUCGACCAUAAAUGGAUUUUUGAGAGUCGCUGUAAAAAUAUAAAAAAUAGAUUUAUUAUUAUUUUUUUUAAUAAAUUUUUAACCGUGUAAUUUAGUCUUGAUUUUAUGCUAUAUGUGUUAUCGUACUUUUAGUAACGCGAACUGUUUAUGUUAAUGUACUGAUGUACCGAAUAUCCUAGAGAACCUUGCACCCAAAUUUAGUAUUUGGAUUGAUACUAGGAAAUGUUUUUGAAACAUUGUUUUAUAAAUAACUGCAUUUAUAAUAAAAAAAAAGAGUCCAAUUUAAAUUUUUCUGUGUAUAUACAGCUAGAAAAAUCUCCAUAUUGACAUACAGAAGCCAAAGAAAGAUGGGUCUGUAAAUUAGUAUGCAUAUAGCAUCUCUAUAACAUAUGGUUCUAAAUAAACAAGUUGCCGUACAAUGUUUGAAGGUGUUUUAUAGAAUAAAAAUGGAUAUAAACGAUAGAAACGUUUUCGUUAUGUUAAUUUUAAAAAAAUGAAACAAAAAAAUCGGAAUUAAUACGUAAUUUUUAUUACUUUUAAUGUUUUAAAAAAUUUCGUAUAUAUAAGAAAAUUUCGUAUCGGUUAUUCCUCGGUAUAGUAGUUUAUGGUCUCUUGAAGUCAGGCGAGUCCAAUGCGAACAGGGCGAUCCAGUUAAAGGACGGGAUGGGAUGUUCGCUUCAAGGUCAGGUACCGACAGCAGCAGCAUUGGGGUUCUUGGCAGUGUUCCAAUAUGUGACACCACCAUUCUAAAACUGGGUUAUGUAGCCGAUUCGUGACCAUAUCGUGACACCCUCAUGUUCUCACUCCUGCCAAAUUUCGAAUUGGUAAAAAUUAUCCGCGCAUUAUAUAUACAAGCACGCAGCGCUUUGAUCAGUUAGCAGACCCGGUCGGGUAUGUGUCGCCGGCGGUCGCCGAUUCCAUCUCAAACACGUGACCGAGGGCGAAGUUAAGAAGCAACCACGCGGAAGUGGUUGCGUUGCGCGUGCGCGACCUUACCCGCUCUCCAGGAGCCUAUAAAGGAAGUGACGUAAAAAAAGUGAUGCUUCCAGCGGAGACAGGAAGUCAUAUUGUAGAUGUUAAUACGAUUAAUCAUUGAAAAGUCAUUUAUUAUUAUUAUAUAAAUUUUUUUAAUAGUCAGCGGAUAAAUUACCUAAUAAAUAAUUGCUUAUUUAAUAAACUUUUUUAAUACCCAGACAAAUUUAUUAUUCUUCAGUAGAAGAAAAAAAUGAUGAUAACUUGCGGGAGGGGCAUGCAGUUUAAAACGCAUAAAAUAUUAAUCGACGACCUGGGACGUGUAGUAAAUUCCCAUUCAUAGUGGUGACGACAUUAUACAGAAGCUUUAAGAAUCGAGUAAAGGUAGAAACAUUUUACCACAUGCACACGUUAUGAUAAGAACCGGUCAACGCCGGCGUGAUUGCGUCAUAAGUUGCCAGAUGUCCUUGAUGCUUGACGAAAUUUCUCACGUGACUUCCGCCUAUUGGGGGUAAGAAAUUAAUAAUUAAUAAUCUUAAGAUUAUUAAAAAAAUGAUGCUGGUGAAUGAACCAUUCGCUUUUUUUUCCCUCUCUUCACAGACUAUCGCCUCGGUUAAGAGUUGGUAAACGUUUAAAUAUAGGAUUGCAUAUAUAUAUUUAUAGUAUGUAUAAAUUAUAUAAUCUUAAACAAUGCGAGGAAAUAAAAGUAUUUCUCAUAAUGACAGUUCAACAUGAAUAAAUUUAAAAUAUCCUUUAAUA